RNAcentral lists this ribosomal RNA (108 nucleotides) under uncultured eukaryote. RNAcentral's name for it is "partial 18S ribosomal RNA". The record is from RNAcentral.
UGGUGGAGUGAUUUGUCUGCUUAAUUGCGUUAACGAACGAGACCUCAGCCUGCUAAAUAGUUAUGCGAACCGUCUACUCGGGUGAACGGGGCUGGACAGUCUGGGCCU